CCUACGGGAGGCAGCAGUGAGGAAUAUUGGUCAAUGGGCGUAAGCCUGAACCAGCCAAGUCGCGUGAGGGAUGAAGGUUCUCUGGAUCGUAAACCUCGUUUAUAAGGGAAUAAAGUGCGGGUCGUGUCCCGCUUUGUAUGUACCUUAUGAAUAAGGAUCGGAUAACUCCGUGCCAGCAGCCGCGGUAAUACGGAGGAUCCGAGCGUUAACCGGAUUUAUUGGGUUUAAGGGGUGCGUAGGCGGCAUUUUAAGUCAACGGCGAAAUUCUCUGGCUCAACCAUAGAAUUGCCGUUGAAACUGGGAGGCUUGAGUAUGUGAGAGGAUAGCGGAAUGCGUGGUGUAGCGGUGAAAUCCGUAGAUAUCUCGCAGAACAUCGAUUGCGAAGGCAACCUGCCAGGACAUGACUGACGCUGAUGCACGAAAGCGUGGGGAGCAAACAGGAUUAGAUACCCGAGUAGUC
This 460-nucleotide ribosomal RNA is filed under the name uncultured bacterium. RNAcentral describes it as "partial 16S ribosomal RNA". It matches the Rfam family "Bacterial small subunit ribosomal RNA", at positions 338 to 795 of the family's 1533-position model. The record is from RNAcentral.